Erythranthe guttata (spotted monkey flower) is the source of this 746-nucleotide non-coding RNA. The record is from RefSeq and is a predicted model, not a curated record. Lineage: Eukaryota; Viridiplantae; Streptophyta; Magnoliopsida; Lamiales; Phrymaceae.
GCCCCUACACAAUUAGGCGGCGGUUAUCACCCGCUAUCUCGGCCGUAGGGACGGUGGUGCUGCACCGGAAUGUGUAGGCGGAGAGCGCGGUGGCUCUGAGUUGCGUUUGACCAGGGCUUUUCGAGAUACUGCAAUUGGAGGAUGCAAAAGAUUUGGGGAUGAAAAGGGGCAGAAUGGUAAUUGUUCAACUGCGCAUAAGCAAUACGUCACUGGAUGUGUCUGCUUCUCAUUGUAAGGACAAAGAGAACAGCAGAGAUGACCGGAUUACUAAAUAUGGAAUGUAUUGAAUCUCUAUGAUGGAACCGAGAAUCGUUCGUAAAAUUUGUCUCAACAAGGACUUCGGGAUUGAACGGACUCGAGAUAAUACCGAGUCGUUGAGCGAGAAUGGUAGUGAAACCGGUCUGGAUGAAACACUACUACAGUGGGAAAUUUCGAAAUCAUUUUGGAAGUGUGAAUAAAAGGACAGCUUCGAACGAGGAAGGGGCGUAAUGGUAAUUGCGCAAUGAGUUCUUGUGAAGAAGAAGAAGUGAAGUGGAAUCCAUCCAGACUUGAUCUGGUUCAUUUCUUGAUUGCUUUGAGUUAUGAGAAAUGGCAAUUUGUGUCUAUUCUGUAUAUAUAUUGUAUCUAUCUUUUUGGUGAUUUUUUUACCACUUUAUAUGUGGACAAAUAACAUUUGGACUGUGUUAGUAAAUUAUGUUCCUGCAAACAUAUUUAAUAUAUCAUAUGGAAAUAAAAUAUGUUUUAUG